AAAGCCGCGUACGGAGUUUCUUUGGUGAUCGUACUGUAAACCGACUCAGGUGGGCGGGGUGAGAGUCCCAAGGCGCGUGAGAGAACCCUGGUUAAGGAACUCGGCAAAUUGACACCGUAACUUCGGGAGAAGGUGUGCCACUGGCGGUUAGCGACCUCGCGUCGCGAAGCUGUUGGUGGUCGCAGUGAAAUGGCGGUUGUGACUGUUUACUAAAAACACAGGACUCUGCGAACUCGUAAGAGGACGUAUAGGGUCUGAUGCCUGCCCGGUGCUGGAAGGUUAAGGGAAUAUGUCAGGGGCAACCCGAAGCAUUGAACCGAAGCCCCAGUAAACGGCGGCCGUAACAAUAACGGUCCUAAGGUAGCGAAAUUCCUUGUCGGGUAAGUUCCGACCUGCACGAGGGCAUAACAACAUCCGCACUGUCUCGACCAGGGACUCAGCGAAAUUGCAUUGGGGGUGAAGAUGCCCUCUACCCGCGGCAAGACGGAAAGACCCCAUGAACCUUCACUGCAACUUGGCAGUGAAAUUCGGGUUGAUCUGCGUAGGAUAGGUGGGAGGCUUUGAAGUCGGGUUUCCGGAUUCGACAGAGCCAACGUUGAAAUACCACCCUGAUUAAUCUGGAUUUCUAACCUACAUCCGUAAUCCGGAUGAGGGACACUGCCUGGUGGGCAGUUUGACUGGGGCGGUCGCCUCCUAAAUUGUAACGGAGGCGUGCGAAGGUUCCCUCAGGCUGAUUGGAAACCAGCCGGAGAGUGCAAACGCAUAAGGGAGCUUUACUGUGAGACUGACAAGUCGAGCAGUUGCGAAAGCAGGUGUUAGUGAUCCGGUGGUACCGAGUGGAAGGGCCAUCGCUCAUCGGAUAAAAGGUACUCUGGGGAUAACAGGCUGAUCGCGCCUGAGAGUUCACAUCGGCGGCGCGGUUUGGCACCUCGAUGUCGGCUCAUCGCAUCCUGGGGCUGGAGCAGGUCCCAAGGGUUUGGCUGUUCGCCAAUUAAAGCGGUACGCGAGCUGGGUUUAAAACGUCGUGAGACAGUUUGGUCCCUAUCUGCCGUGGGCGCAGGAUACUUGAGAGGAGCUACCCAUAGUACGAGAGGACCUGGGUGGACGAACCUCUGGUGCUCCGGUUGUCACGCCAGUGGCAUAGCCGGGUAGCUAUGUUCGGAACAGAUAACCGCUGAAAGCAUAUAAGCGGGAAGCUGGCCUCAAGACUAGGUAUCCCUGACGUAAGUCACUAAAGGUCCCACGUAGACUACGUGGUUGAUAGGCUGGAUGUGGAAGUGUAGCGAUACACGGAGCUAACCAGUACUAAUAGACCGUGCGACUUGACC
RNAcentral lists this ribosomal RNA (1328 nucleotides) under metagenome. RNAcentral's name for it is "bacterial LSU rRNA". It matches the Rfam family "Bacterial large subunit ribosomal RNA", at positions 1614 to 2925 of the family's 2925-position model. The record is from RNAcentral.